AACUACUUAGCUAUUUGAAGUAUAUGUCUUGAAAACAUAAGAUAAUUAAUCAACCAAUUAGUAGUUU
This 67-nucleotide transfer RNA is filed under the name Petrobiellus sp. 1 JZ-2014. RNAcentral describes it as "tRNA-Ser". Lineage: Eukaryota; Metazoa; Arthropoda; Insecta; Archaeognatha; Machilidae. The record is from RNAcentral.